Small nucleolar RNA from Meriones unguiculatus (Mongolian gerbil), 129 nucleotides. Lineage: Eukaryota; Metazoa; Chordata; Mammalia; Rodentia; Muridae. The record is from Ensembl.
CCUGCCCCUAGAGGCCUGCACGUGUGGCUUCUCUGUCACCUGUGCUUCAGUGUGUGGCAGAGAGGAAAGAGGUUCUCUGUGCUCAGAUGUCUGACAUGUGAACAUCUGAAUGAUUAGUAGUCUGACGUA